CCUACGGGGGGCAGCAGUCGAGAAUCAUUCACAAUGGGCGAAACCCUGAUGCUGCGACGCCGCGUGGGGGAAUGAAGGUCUUCGGAUUGUAAACCCCUGUCAUGUGGGAGCAAAUUAAAAAGAUAGUACCACAAGAGGAAGAGACGGCUAACUCUGUGCCAGCAGCCGCGGUAAUACAGAGGCCUUAAGCGUUGGUCGGAAUUACUGGGCGUAAAGCGUGCGUAGGCUGUUUCGUAAGUCGGAUGUGAAAGGCGCGGGCUCAACCCGCGGACUGCACAUGAUACUGCGAGGCUGGAGUGAUGGAGAGGGAACCGGAAUGCUCGGUGUAGCAGUGAAAUGCGUAGAUAUCGGGAGGAACACUCGUGGCGAAGGCGGGUUCCUGGACAUUAACUGACGCUGAGGCACGAAGGCCAGGGGAGCGAAAGGGAUUAGAUACCCGAGUAGUC
This 446-nucleotide ribosomal RNA is filed under the name uncultured bacterium. Its description in RNAcentral is "partial 16S ribosomal RNA". It matches the Rfam family "Bacterial small subunit ribosomal RNA", at positions 338 to 795 of the family's 1533-position model. The record is from RNAcentral.